This 28-nucleotide small RNA is filed under the name Bombyx mori (domestic silkworm). RNAcentral describes it as "ovarian small RNA-5548". Lineage: Eukaryota; Metazoa; Arthropoda; Insecta; Lepidoptera; Bombycidae. The record is from RNAcentral.
UAAACCAUUUGUGCUGCGCUGACACCUG